CGAAAUUAAUAAAACAUUUAACAUUUGAAUUUCUCAUAAAUUAAAUCAAGUUUAAAUAUAAUUAAUGUAAAAAUAUAAUUAAUGUAAAAUACGAAAACGAGCCCUAAACAUCGGGGUGUCACUAAGUCAUGAGCGUCUAAAACUACAAACUAAGAUAUAUAAAUUGUCUAACUGUCCAAAAGAAUAAAUGACAAAAGGAGUAACAAGGUCGUGCGAAAUUAGCAGCUACCUUGCAAUCUCCAUAGAUAGUCGGUCUGAACUCAACGAUCGCUGCUUUCUAACUCACCUGGAUCUGCAUAUAAAGUGCAGGGUGUAGUAUGAGUACAACCACCUCAGUAGUAAUAGAAAUAACUAAGAAACUGAGAAGUAGUGACUAGCUAAGCAAAACAGUCCA
RNAcentral lists this long non-coding RNA (394 nucleotides) under Nicotiana benthamiana. RNAcentral's name for it is "long non-coding RNA (NBEN_LNC011830)". Lineage: Eukaryota; Viridiplantae; Streptophyta; Magnoliopsida; Solanales; Solanaceae. The record is from RNAcentral.